Molecule: long non-coding RNA, 578 nt
Organism: Drosophila busckii
Lineage: Eukaryota; Metazoa; Arthropoda; Insecta; Diptera; Drosophilidae
Exons: 3
Source: RefSeq, a predicted model, not a curated record
AUAGUAUCAAGUAGGCAGCGAUGCCAUUAGUAAUAGAAUAUAAAUUCUCUAUAUUUUCAUAAAAUUUUAAAAACAACAUUGGUUGUGCUCCAACCGGCCGCAAUUCCAAUUUGCCCAAUCAAUCUAACCGCAAGCAUUGCCGUAGUGUUCAAGGGUUUAAUUUCAAUUUAAAAUGAGUAAGCCGGGCUGUCCAUGCAAAAGCAAACAGCAAACUAGCGAGGCAUGUCGAAUUUGUGGAACUAAGGGCGGAGCUGGGGAUGGACCUGGUGGCAAAGGAGGUCGCUGCGCUCCAGGUUCUGGUGGUCCAGAUGGGGCUGGCAAAGAUCCUAGCAAAUUAGGCGAUGGAAAAAAUGGAAAAGAUGGAAAAGGAAAGGGACCUUUUAUAAGUGCCAACACCUUGUCUUUGGCAAAGGCUGUGGCACUAUUCGCCUUCGGCUGUUACCUUACCUUGAAAAUGAAUGCAGUUGCUAAUGUUAUUGGCUAACUCUUCAUAUAUUUUCUUUUGAGUUUUAGUUUAGAACGCAAGCAAGGAACUCAUGCAAUUGUUAACCCUUCACGGAUAUUAAAAAUUGUAGCAA